GUACUACUGAAGAGUCCCAAACUAGGACGAAACGGCUGUCCAGUAU
Molecule: non-coding RNA, 46 nt
Filed under: Trichobilharzia regenti
Lineage: Eukaryota; Metazoa; Platyhelminthes; Trematoda; Strigeidida; Schistosomatidae
Source: RNAcentral